This 2245-nucleotide unclassified non-coding RNA is filed under the name uncultured fungus. Its description in RNAcentral is "sequence contains 18S rRNA gene, ITS1, 5.8S rRNA gene, ITS2, 28S rRNA gene". The stretch from base 1021 to 2245 matches the Rfam family "Eukaryotic large subunit ribosomal RNA", at positions 1 to 961 of the family's 3401-position model. Lineage: Eukaryota; Fungi. The record is from RNAcentral.
GGAAGGAUCAUUCCUAGUCAGGUGUCGUGCGUGUGGGUGUAGGUGUGUCGAGGGUGUUCGCCCAAGGCAUGCAUGCUCCCGCGCGCGCGCACACCAUCCUAUCCAUCCCAUCCUGUGUUGUUGACCGCCUAGGUGUGCGCAUGUGGCGAGUCUGACUGGCGCUGUCAUGGGUGUUGGUCAUUCAAAGUCGGGGUAGACGAGGGUUUACCAACAUGCGCAUGCUGACGUGGAUUUUUUCAUUCAAACCCCAGACCCAAUGCUGACUGAAUGUGACUUUGUGUGUGAGUGUGUUUGCCAGUGGUGGUGGGGUUUCCCCGUCAUCAUCGGCAACAUCCUUGUGUAUCAAUAACAGUAUAUUAAAACAACUGUUGACAACGGAUCACUCGGCUCUCGUGUCGAUGAAGAGCGUAGCGAAUUGCGAAAACUAGUGCGAUUUGCAUCCAUCGUGAAUCAUCGAGUCCUUGAACGCAACUUGCACCGCAAGGGUCUUCCUUGCGGUCUGCUGUUUGAGUAUUGACUGACUCUACCCUCGGGCUCAUUGACGUGUGUGCUGCUUGCUUGCAUGCAUGUCGGUGGUAGGCUCGGAUCGUGACUGGCCACUUGAUGCGCGGGUGUCGCUUGCGACUCUCAGUGUGUGAGUGACCGGUUGAAAUGCAUUGGCCUUUAUGCCACUCCCGUGACGUGUCUCUGGUGCUUGACGUCAAGUGUCGUGUGCUUUGCCGGGCGUGUGUGUGUGUGUUAUCUAUCUCCAACUCAUGUUUUCCGUGAAUGCUUGGUCUUCCCGCGAGGGAGGGUCAUUCAUGCCUUGCUAGCAUGGGCGUGUGAGAGAGAGAGAGAGUACAUGCAUGUCCUUUAUGUGCGAGUCAUGGCAUGUCAAGCAUCACAACUAUACUCUCGGGGUGACAAUCUGUUUGUUUGUGAAAGCGAAUCAGGCCAGCAACGGCGAGGGUCGGGUGUGACGUGGCAUUCGUGUCGCGCCCACACCCACGCCCAACCCAACCCCCCCCCCAUUUAUCAAUGCAAUCUCAAAUCAGGCAGGAUGACCCGCUGAACUUAAGCAUAUCAAUAAGCGGAGGAAAAGAAACCAACAGGGAUUCCCCUAGUAACGGCGAGUGAAGCGGGAAGAGCUCAAAUUUGAAAUCGGAACGGCAAGCGCCGGAUCUGAAUUGUAGUUUGAUGAGGCGUGUCUUGCGGCAGGUCCAGGUCCAAAUCCCUUGGAAUGGGGUACCAUGGAGGGUGAAAGUCCCGUCUAUGGCCUGCGAGAACCGGCUGUGUUGUAGCGCGUCCUCGGAGAGUCGGGUUGUUUGGGAAUGCAGCCCAAAGCGGGUGGUAAACUCCAUCUAAGGCUAAAUACUGGCGAGAGACCGAUAGCGAACAAGUACCGUGAGGGAAAGUUGAAAAGCACUCUGAAGAGAGAGUCAAACAGUACGUGAAAUUGUCAACAGGGAAACGAUGGGCUCCAGUACGUGUCCGGGUGGAAUCAGGCGUGUGCGGGGGCUGGUGUGCGCGGGGUGGUCAGCUGCUAGCGCGGCGACGCCCCGUGUGCGUGAUCCGGCUUCGGCGGCGCUGUACUUUGGCCCGGACAGGUCAACAUCAGUUGCGACUGCGUGCAAGAACGGACCCGGGACGGUAGCCAUGCGCUUUGCGGUGCGUGGCACUUAUAGCCCGGGCUGCGGCGGUGCGUGCGCGACUGAGGCAGCAGAGAGGAUCGACGCGUCAAUGCCAGGGCUUCCUUGCGGAGCACUGGUGGAUGCAGGUCGGCCGUGGCAGGGUGUGGGCGCGCGAGCAAGACAGCCUGGCUGAUUUGUUCGUUGCUGCCUGCACCCUCUCAUGUCGCGGUGCGGACACUAGCUCGGUCACUGACGGUUGACGAAAUGGAGUUCAACGACCCGUCUUGAAACACGGACCAAGGAGUCUAACAUGGGGUGCGAGUGUUUGGGCGUGGAAAACCCGGACGCGGAAUGAAAGUGAGCUCAUUGUAGCUGGGCAGGACGUUGGUGUGGCUCGCGAUCUCUUUUGGUUGCGGCGCCCGACUGCACUGUCGACCGACCGUUGGUUCGCGUGACCUUCGGAUUGCGUCUGAGCAUCCCUGUUGGGACCCGAAAGAUGGUGAACUAUGCUUGAGUAGGACGAAGCCAGAGGAAACUCUGGUGGAGGUCCGUAGCGGUUCUGACGUGCAAAUCGAUCGUCAAACUUGAGUAUAGGGGCGAAAGACUAAUCGAACCAUCUAGUAGCUGGUUCCCGC